RNAcentral lists this long non-coding RNA (236 nucleotides) under Anas platyrhynchos platyrhynchos (common mallard). RNAcentral's name for it is "lncRNA (ENSAPLG00000019012.1)". The record is from RNAcentral. Lineage: Eukaryota; Metazoa; Chordata; Aves; Anseriformes; Anatidae.
CUGUACCCGUCAUGUUCACUUGUUUCUCCACAGUGCUGUUUAUGGGAACAGUUUUCUCCAUGCACCUGUUGGGGGAGCAAAACAAGGCUGCUUCGACCAUCAAUCUGUGGGACCUCAGAGCUCAGCCUGAAAGCAAGGGUGAAACGAAAUACGAAAAUUGCACUGCAGUAGAAGAGGAGUCAGCUAUCUGAGGGCCUCUGCUGAAAUCCCAUCUUUCGGGUGAUGUGGGAUUUCUC